This 493-nucleotide ribosomal RNA is filed under the name uncultured bacterium. RNAcentral's name for it is "bacterial SSU rRNA". It matches the Rfam family "Bacterial small subunit ribosomal RNA", at positions 25 to 507 of the family's 1533-position model. The record is from RNAcentral.
CAGGACGAACGCUGGCGGCGUGCUUAACACAUGCAAGUCGAACGAGAAGUAGAUGAGAAGCUUGCUUCUUAUUAAUUCGAGUGGCAAAACGGGUGAGUAACGCGUAAGCAACCUGCCCUUCAGAUGGGGACAACAGCUGGAAACGGUUGCUAAUACCGAAUACGUCUUUUUGUCGCAUGGCAGAGGGGAAGAAAGGGAGGCUCUUCGGAGCUUUCGCUGAAGGAGGGGCUUGCGUCUGAUUAGCUAGUUGGAGGGGGUAAACGGCCCACCAAGGCGACGAUCAGUAGCCGGUCUGAGAGGAUGAACGGCCACAUUGGGACUGAGAUACGGCCCAGACUCCUACGGGAGGCAGCAGUGGGGAAUAUUGGGCAAUGGGGGAAACCCUGACCCAGCAACGCCGCGUGAAGGAAGAAGGCCUUCGGGUUGUAAACUUCUUUUAGCAGGGACGAAGGACGUGACGGUACCGUAAGAGAAAGCCACGGCUAACUACGUG